CUCUAGUGGCCUACAGCAGUUGAAAUAACCUUACUCUUUGCUCCUCUCAUUUCUUGUUUGCCCCAUACUUGGGGAAGGGGUUAUAUGGUUAAAUCCUAGAAUGUCAGAGCCCGAAGAGCUCUUAGCAUCUCUGAAUCCAAUCUCCCCUCUUUCCCUCAACUUUUAAUUAAACCAAAGUCAAACCACAUCAUUUUCCAGCACCCCCUACCCUGCUGUGAAGCAGGUUGCAAUCUACUGCUCUUGGGUUCAGUCGUAUGACUUGCUUUGGACAAUGGAAUGUUAACAGAUAUAGUGUGAGGAGAAUCUUGGAAAAUGCUUAUGUAAUUGGGCUGCUCUCCGGUACUUCCGCUAGUGCAAGGAGAAUGUGUCCGGGCUAGCCCAUUGAUUUCAGGGGGGAUAAAUGAGACAUAUGAGCAGUAUUGUCAGCAAAGCUUCCUUAGCCCAAGACUAAGGCAGAGCUCCCCAGCUGACCUGCAGAUAAUUGAGUGAACCAAGCCAAGAUCAGCAGAGCCACCUAGCUUAGCCCAGCCCAACCUCGAUCCACCAAAUUCCAGACAACUCACAGAUACUAUAACAUGUGUGUGUCAAUUUUUAUCAACAACCUGGAGCUUUUAGUUAGUAUUUGAAGAAUCUUAGUCAGGAACCCAUACAUGAAGAGUGGUUAGCAAACAUAUGAAAAGCCCUAAAAGGAGUCCACAGCCCAGACGGGCUGCAGCAACUUCAAAUAUCCUCAUCCGAAUCUGCACCAGAGGACCUGCUCUUUGGGAUCUCAUCCAGAAUCCCACAUUACAUUAAAUCAUCACGUCUCCUUAGUCUCCUCCAACCUUCUCAGUCUUUCCUUGUUUAUCGGCACCCUGGAAGUUUUGAGUGCUGGCCAGGUAGGAUUUGCUCUGGGGCAAGUCAGCUGCUGUGUUGUGAAGACACUCCAAGACAACUGUGGAGGGGACCCACCCUGCCAGCCACGUGAAUGAGACUCCCUGGAAGCAGAUCUUCCAGCCCCAGUUGAGCCUUCAAGUGACCACAGCCCUGACACGUCUGACUGAUCCUCAUGAGAAAUCUCAAGCUAGAGCUAUCAGUCCACCUGUUUCCAAAGUCCUGGCCCGCAGAAACUGUGACAGAAAAGAAGUGCUUAUUAUUUAUAUAAGUUACUAAAUUUGGGGAUAAUUUGUUACACAGCAAUUAGAUAAUGAAUACAGAAACACUCAGAAAAGUAUUCGAAAAAACAAAACUUCAAAUUUUACAAUUCCAAAAUAAACUCAUUAUAACUUGAAUAUAAUCCCUUCUUUUAAUGCUUAACCGUACUUAAACUAUGUCUUUGUAUAAUUUAAAAAAAUAAAACUGGGAUCAUAAUUUAUUUCACUUUUAUAUACUGACAUUUUCCCCACUUAGUGUGUAAAUAAAUUGUAGAUAAUUUAUCCAUGUUAUUAGAAAAUUCUUCAGAAAUGUAAGUUUAAUGGUUCUAUAAUAUACUAAAUGGAUAGUCCACAAUUCAGCCAAAUCGUUGGACAUUUAAAUUGUGUGAAUUUGUGCUGUUAUAAAUAUUACCACAAAAAAUACCUUUGAAAGGGACAAUACAGGAAACUGCUGGGAGCACAGGUUGGAAGCUCGUUUUGUGUAGGCAUGUUCUAAUUCUGCCCCUCCCUAGCUCUACGGCUUUGAGCAAGUUCCUUGGUAUCUGUGCCUUGUUUUCCUCUCCUAUAAAAUAAGGAAUGAAGUACCCUUGCUGGUAUUUACUAUUAUUUUUUGUGGUAAAAUUUACAUGACAUUUACCAUUUUAACCCUUUUUAAGUGUACAAUUUAGUGGUAUUAAGUACAUUUUCAUUGUUAUAUAACCAUCACCACCAUCCAUAUUAAAACUCUUUCAUCAUUCCAGACUGAAACUCUAUACCCAUUAAAUAGUAACUCCUCAUUCUCUCCUCUGCCCAGCCCCUGGUAACCACUAUUUUACUUUCUGUCUUUAUGAAUAUGACUAAUUUGAGUACACUAUUUGUCCUUUUUGAUCUAGC
This 2006-nucleotide long non-coding RNA is filed under the name Homo sapiens (human). RNAcentral describes it as "HSALNT0199243". Lineage: Eukaryota; Metazoa; Chordata; Mammalia; Primates; Hominidae. The record is from RNAcentral.